AAUUGUGGUAAGAAAAGAGGGAAAAAAGGCCACUAUAAAUCGCCUUCCGGUGUUUCAUGCAACGACAGUAGCUCAGCGGUUUAGCUAUCGAUCGCUUAGAGGGUCUACGAUGCACUGCUCCUUUCUUGUUUCGAUCCAAUUCUUUCCCUUUGUCUUCCGCUUUGACAUGCCAGAUCUUCCGGUUUCUUGGGAUUGUUGGGAUUUACUUGAUACGUCUUUCUUGAUUCAAAGACGGUUCCUUUUUUGUUUAGAUUCGUGGAUUGUGCGCUGUGUUUCGUCUUUGCUGGGAUUCUUUUUCUCGGUGCUUCUUGAUUUGCGAUUCUCUUCGAUCACUACGAGGUCUACGAUGCACUUCCCCUUUCUUGUUUGAUACCUGUUUGAUUCCUUUCAUUUUGUUUAGAUUCGUCGAUCAUCCCCCGUGUUUUCAUAAAAGAAACCCUUGGGUUUCUUUGGGAUUAGGGAUUUAAUCGAUAGAUGCAUUUAUCGAUUGGAUAUUCCCUUCAGAAACUGCUAGUUUAUCUUGUUUAGAUUAAAUUUUCGUUUCGUGGAUCAUAGUUCGCCCCAAAAAGGGAUUCUUUUUCUCGGUGUUUCUUGAUUUGCGAUCCUCUUCAUCACCGUACCCAGUUUGAGGUCAAAAGGAACCCUUUCUGGUUCUUUUCGGCACUUUCUUAUUUUGUCCUGAUCAAUUUCUGGCACCAAAUGGUCAAGCGAUCCGCAAGAAUUAAGGGACCUGGAGAUUUGGGGUUUCUUGACAUCUUUCUGUGACAUGUCUUUCUUGAUUGGAGAUUCAUUCACUGCUGAAUCAUUUUUUCGUGGACUAACCCUUAUAAUUUGUUCCAGCGUGGAAAUCUUUCGCCCUAUUUUUACAGUGAUGACAUCGUAGUUUAUUUUAUGCAAUCAAAAGACCAUUUUUGUAUAGCCGAGUAAUUUACUUGCUUUUAUUUUAUUGAUAAUAAACAAUAAGUGGGUACAGGGAUCAUAUUUACUGGUGUAGUUUUCAGAUCAAUCUACCAUGUUACAUGAUUAGAAAAAUAGGGGGAAAUUAGAGGUUAGUAAGAUCAUGAUAAAUUCACAUUGAAGAAAAGAGGUGCAUAAGAUAUUGUAUAAGAGAUAUCUGCUUCAACAUUUACUUCAAAAGAAAAAAAAAAGAUAUCUUUAACGGUGUUUGUUAGGAUGUGAAUGCUUAUUAAAUUGGGUAUAAUUGGGAUCACAUGUAUGAAAAAUUAUGCGAGGUGGCUAUCUUGGCAGCAUGCUGAUACCAUUAUGACUCCACAUUCACCUUUUAGCACUGUUCAUUCUUUUUCAUUAUUCUCAAUGCGUAUACUCAAUCAUUUAUCUCUGGAAUCAACUUGUCACUUAUUUUGCAUUUUUCUUUUACCAACGGGCACUUUUUUCAUCUCUCUCUCUCUCUCUCUCUGACAAGCAUUCUGCUCCAAACAUCAGUUCCAACUGAAGCCAUUCAGGUCAAAUUGUUUACAACUUGAUGCAGCUUCAUCACCUACAUAUAUUUUUAGCUCUAGUUCUGUUGCAAGACAUGGGAGUGCAAAUCCAUCUGGUUGCUGUCUAUUCUCCUGUUGAACUGCCGUGCUCUUGCUUCUUGGAUGCUCAAGAAAAUUGUUUACACCAUCUCUUUCCUUUCUUCCUACAUCAGGAACAUUUCUACUGUCUCUAUUGUCUUCUUGAGGCUUAACGCUUGCUUGUAUAAUGUUUUUGUCCCUCUGGAUUGGGAAAGAAUUCCUUUCUGAAUCUCUUAAAAUGGAUGAAGCCUUCUGCUCAUUCAGAUUAUUACACCAUGCCUGUUGAGUCUGUCCAAUCCUGGUAUGUUCUCCAAUUAUUUUCAUGCAUAAGGGAAAUUCUUCAUGUUGAGUUGUUAACCCCUGGCUGAUAACUUGCUCCUUCUCCGAUCCCUUAGAUGAGAUCAAACAACAAUCCGCCGAACAAUCAGUGAGUUGGGCCGGAGUUACCUGUAACAUAGGUUGGUUAUUAUUUCUUCCAGACUUGCAAAUGAAUUGAUGAAACAUUCACUUGAGACUUUGGAGACCAGUUCAGAGAUUUGGAUUUUGGCAACUUCCAGUCCCGCAGAACCCAAGUCCUGCUUCCUAAGAGUCUCUUGGGCCUUCUCCAGCACUGACUGCAAAUUGUGUAUUGUUUGUUAGUAUAAUGUAACAACACAUUAUACUAGGGAAAUUGGAUUUUGCACCUUUACAACACAGUAUAAUGUAACAACACAUUAUACUGUGUGUAACAACACAUUGGAUAUGCAACAACACAUUAUAAUGUAACAACACCAGAUUUGAUUUCGUUGUUCUUCUUACCUUUUUGCCCUCACUUUGCUCCUGCUGCUUGUUUCCAAUUGGAACUUCAAAUCUGUUUGUUUCUAUGCUGACAACGUAAUAUUUCUAGAGAGCUAGGACAUGUACAUAGUUAUGUCCUAUAUGUAUUCUCUUCUUGUUUAGGAAGGAGCUUGAGCUGCCUCAACUCUCCACAUUGAUGAGAGAUGCCUCCAAAGCUCUCCUUAUAUGGCAAAUGGAAAGAAAAUUUGGAAUCAGUUGAACAGAAACUCAACUAUUGAUCUAAUCUUCACAACUCGAAAAGUUAAAGCUUCAACUAGUGGUACAGCUUUAGCUUCCUUCAUGUCCAUGGAAUAAAUCCAUAAACAUUCAUUAUUAUAGUACAAUGGACCGUGGAACAAAAAUUAGGAACCUUAUGCUCUUGAGCAUAGGUUUCGUACAGAAAGGUAUACAAUCUGAUGUCUUCAGAGCUUGCAAAAUUUCCAUAUUCCUUAACUAUUUGUAGUGGCUCAGUAAGCAGAUCCCUCACAUUUGGAAACCUUAUUUUUCUGGGACCUGAAUGAACAACUUAGGUGUUUGGUCUAUGAUGCAUUGGGAUCUCAUGGAAGUCUAGAGUUGGAUAAUAUAUUUGCAGGUGGUAGAGAUUUGUCAUUCAUAGAGUUGAUUGAGGAAUUUUUGUCAGUUAUAUUAAAAAGUUUUUUUUUUUUGGAAAAGGAGUUUUAUUAGAAAGUUGAAAAUAUUGUUUGAAUGGAUGCAUCCGGAAGGAGAAUUACUCGCAUAUUUUCUGUAAAGAUGGGAAAACUCUACUGUACAUGAUGCUCUUAUGUACAUUCUGAACACAAAGUGAUGGAAUGAAAUAAGGAUUUAAUUCCCUCUUGUCUCCUCCACUAAGUAUGAUACUUAUUUGGCUGUCCCGAGGUACAAAAAAAAAAGGGAUAGAUUCUGGAAGUCGUCACUCUAAGCCAAUUGUUGAUCUGAGAUUUAUUAAUGGAAGGAGAACAGAGCAUAAAGGCAAACAUAUAUAUUCUAUUUCAUUCAUACAUCAUAGCUUGCCGAAUGGCUGGACCGCUUCAUUUCCAUCAGCAGAAGCUAGAUAACCAUGCACAACUAUUCAUGACCAAGUCAAGAUCACAAUGCAAAGGGUAACACUCUAGAUAUCCUCCUAUUAGGUAUCAAACUCCAUUACAUAGAACUGUUCUAUGAAUGCGUGAUAUGGAAUACAUUUAUGGGGAAGAAUUGACCAUCAUUUUAUCUUGUACCAGAAAAUAUUUUUUAUAGUAUCUUUUGCAGAGGCAGUUGAUCAGAGACUUACACCUCAGGUCUUUUUGUUGUUCCGGAGGUCUGCUGAAACAUUUGAUUUGCUCAUGCCUUAAAUUGGGGGUAGAAACUUUUUCUACCAUGUACAAUGUGAGAAAUCAGCUCAGGUCAUACAUAGGCAUUUAGAUAUAUAAAUUUCUAUCCAGUUGUAGACCCUUGAGUCUUGAAUGUACGUAACUGUGAGGUAUUCUUUUGUGGCUGUCAUCCCUAGAGCUUCAACUUUUUUUUCUCUGUCUCAAUGCAUUCUGAAGCAUGUCUUUUCAGGAACAUCUGGCCAAGUUCAUAUUUCCAUGGAUUGAAACAAAGAUUCUUGAUUUUUCUUGUUUUUGUUUGUAUGUAAAGACUGCUUGUUGUAGUUGUAGCUACCUCCUGCUUCUUCUAGACAGUAUUUACAAAUAACAAGAUAGCAAUCUUACAUACAGUGUCAUUCUUCUCCAUUAACUCAAGUGAGAUUAAAAGGUCCUCAUCAUUCAUAUCUAGAAUUUAUUAUUCAUGGAACGAAUAUUAUUCCCCUAGAAUGAGGAUGAGAUUGGGCAUAAAUUGUUCUCACCAUCAGAUAACCAGAAUAUAUUGCAUGUUUCAUUGAGUGGUACAUGAAAUUGUUUAAUUCUUCUGACAUUCUCCACAGGGAAUAUCUCCAACCGCCUCCCUGGUCAAAAGAAUGGCAGGAAUCAAUAAAGUUCAGAUCACUCUUUUUUCUUGAGAAUAAAAAAGAG
This is a non-coding RNA of Musa acuminata subsp. malaccensis (wild Malaysian banana), 4324 nucleotides long. The record is from RefSeq and is a predicted model, not a curated record. NCBI's taxonomy places the organism in Eukaryota, Viridiplantae, Streptophyta, Magnoliopsida, Zingiberales, Musaceae.